UGGAACCUUCCCACCAACAACACAAAACACCACAACCACGCCAGGAAAUUGCACAACAAGACCAACCACAGUCCCAUCAAGCAAACCUGGAAAUCAUAGUACUACUCCCAUAGUUACCCAAAAAGUUACCCCAACACCAGGAGGACACGGUGAUAACAAAUCAGACAAAGGCAAGUGGGUGGCUACAGGUUUUGCUGUUGUGUUUUUCCUUACAACCAUCAUAAUGACAGUGUUGUACUGUCGACAACGCAGGAUUUACCGCGAACUUGAGGGUGACAGCUCCUUGUCCAGGUUGAUUUAAUCUCAACAGACAAAACUUGCAGGGGGAGACCAUUCAAGAAUCUCUGUGAAAUUUGCAUAAAUAUACAUUAGCACGCUAAUAAAACCUUAAUUUUUUUUUUUGGAGUAGUGGGUAGGCAUAUUAAAUUCUUGAAUGUUAUUGGCCAAUCACACUUUUAAUGAUCCAGCUUUUUUCAAUAAAAACCACAGUCUACAACUUUUUAGUAUUUCCUUCAGGAGUUCACCCUUUCAUGGUAUGCUCAUUUUGUUCACUUUAAAUUGUAGAAAUAUUGCAUAAAGGUGGUUUUGUCCGUUGUGUAGCAGAACUAAGUUCACAAGUGUUCUCAACUUUUAAGAUAUUAAAAGGACUGUUUUAUUGGUGCUCAAUUAUUUCCUUUUGUAUCUUUUUUUUUUCUGUUUCUGGUGUAGAAAAAUAGUUUUGUCACUAUUGUAGGUAGGGAAUAUUUACAUUUUAUUCAACCAGGUAGACUAAAUGUUCUGAUACAGUCCCUGUAGAUCAGGAAUCAGCCAUAGCCACAGUCCAACCAAAGUUGAUAUUUUAACACAUUUCAUAAUCAAGGACUUCUGUAUGCAGAGCAUACAAUAUUGCUCUGUUGAUUGUUUUCCUUGUUUAACUUUCUUGAAAUGUUCAUUUCGUUUUCAACUGAAGUAAAGUUUGAGCAUUGU
Long non-coding RNA from Stylophora pistillata, 966 nucleotides. The record is from RefSeq and is a predicted model, not a curated record. NCBI's taxonomy places the organism in Eukaryota, Metazoa, Cnidaria, Anthozoa, Scleractinia, Pocilloporidae.